Molecule: ribosomal RNA, 253 nt
Filed under: uncultured bacterium
Lineage: Bacteria
Description: partial 16S ribosomal RNA
Rfam family: Bacterial small subunit ribosomal RNA
Source: RNAcentral
UACGUAGGGUGCAAGCGUUGUCCGGAAUUAUUGGGCGUAAAGAGCUCGUAGGCGGCUUGUCGCGUCGGCUGUGAAAACCUGGGGCUCAACCCCGGGCCUGCAGCCGAUACGGGCAGACUAGAGUUCGGCAGGGGAGACUGGAAUUCCUGGUGUAGCGGUGAAAUGCGCAGAUAUCAGGAGGAACACCGGUGGCGAAGGCGGGUCUCUGGGCCGAUACUGACGCUGAGGAGCGAAAGCGUGGGGAGCGAACAGG